UUCUUACAUGUUUUGCAAAUGUCAAUUUUUUGACAAAAAUUUAAAACGUAAAAGGUAAUGAACCAAGUUGCCGCAAAUUCUAUAAAUUGAGAUAAAAGCUGCAAUUUUCUCUAUUUUUAGUACAGCUAAUUUCGAAAUAACUAUUGCAAAACUAUUUUUUAAAUUUUCAGAGAGGCAAUGAUGCCCGCUGUUCAAUUCGGCGCGCGGAGGUGUCGCCCCAGUAAAUAUACAGUAGAGCUUACAAGCUAGCCAAUUCAGAUUUCUCAAGUUAUUACAAUUCCGAGUUCAAACCAGAAGUGAGCAGAUAAAUUUCUCCAAAGAUAAUGGCGAAAAGGCGGAAGGGCUUAUAUACAUAUUCUUCCCUGCACAGCAGAUCUAUGCAAAAAUUCCAUGCAGAAAUCAGGUGAUCUCCUCUCUUCACCCUCUAUAAACAGAUUGACGUGUACCUAAAUUAUUGAUAAUACUAUUCUGGACUACGAUUGAUGGACUCUAUGAGAGAUUACGGUUCUCCCAAUUUGAAUUUGUUGACAUCUCCAAUCCUGCACCAAAGUUUGCACCAAACUAAAAUUCACCACCAACCAUUGUACAAAUGAUAGUUUUUAUUAUUUUAUUCAUUCUUUGGGUUUUUGACAAUGUAUUUAUUUUUAAAAAAUUAUUU
This 658-nucleotide long non-coding RNA is filed under the name Olea europaea subsp. europaea. Lineage: Eukaryota; Viridiplantae; Streptophyta; Magnoliopsida; Lamiales; Oleaceae. The record is from RNAcentral.